Megalobrama amblycephala (Wuchang bream) is the source of this 641-nucleotide long non-coding RNA. RefSeq lists it as uncharacterized. The transcript has 3 exons. The record is from RefSeq and is a predicted model, not a curated record. NCBI's taxonomy places the organism in Eukaryota, Metazoa, Chordata, Actinopteri, Cypriniformes, Xenocyprididae.
CUUUCAGGGAGUCAGUGAAGGUAUUCAGUUGGACAUUACAUUGACUAAUUUCAUGGUGAUCGUGUUCUGAAGCUGCUGGUGGUUGGAUUUAAUUUGAGCAGUCAAGGUUUCAAUCUUGGCAUCAUGCUGUGAAGUUGCAGUUGCAAGUUCCUUGGAGUUGGGAGAGAUCCAGGCAAGUCCUGCUGUAUUCCUGAAGGAGGCGACGUUUGCGUAGUUUCUGUGGAGGUGCACAACUGCAUAGCAUCGGUUAGUGGAGGAGCAUUUUCCCCUGGUGGUGGAAUAGCAAAGCGCACCUGGGCUCUUGGAGAAGGACUAGGAAAGUGUGUGGGUGUGGAGUAGAAGGUGGGAACAUGAAGUGGUUGUCGAGGUUGUUGUGGGGUUUGUUGCACCGGGGCCCAAUUGGGUGUUGCAAUAUCUGGAGGAUCAAUUGCCACAAAAGUGGAUGGUGAUGGGGGGGGUAUGGGCCAUGGUUGACGUGUGUGUAAAAUGGCAAUGUCAAAUUGUAAAAUGUAAAAAAAUAAAAAUUAAAGGAAAUACUGAUGGGCCUGUGUAAAUUCUUUGGGGAAAAUGGGGCACCAAAAUAACAAAACUACAGAAGGAUUACACUGUCAUAAUCCAAAAAGAUACAGAAUUUACCAGUU